GUAAAUUUUAUGGUCAAGCUACUAAGGGCGCAUGGUGGAUGCCUUGGCAGAAGAAGGCGAUGAAGGACGUGGCAAGCUGCGAAAAGCUCCGGCCAGCCGCAAGCAGGCGUUAUCAACCGGAGAUGUCCGAAUGGGGAAACCCACGCUGGUAAAACCAGCGUACGGCCCGCUGAAUCCAUAGGCGGGUACGAGCGAACCCAGGGAAGUGAACCAUCUCAGUACCUGGAGGAAAAGAAAACAAUAGUGAUUCCGAAAGUAGUGGCGAGCGAAAUCGGAACAGCCCAAACCCGCCGCACCUUAGGGUGCAACGGGGGUUGUAGGGCCGGCAACAGUAGAGUUACCAAUCCCGCCGCUAGCUGAACCUCUCUGGAAAGAGAGGCCACAGAGCGUGAUAGCCGCGUAGGCGAAAGCGGUCGGGACUCGAAGCCGGUACCUGAGUACCGCGGGGCACGAGAAACCCUGCGGGAAUCUGCGGCGACCAUGCCGCAAGGCUAAAUACUUUGCUUCUGACCGAUAGUGAACCAGUACCGUGAGGGAAAGGCGAAAAGAACCCCGGCGAGGGGAGUGAAAUAGUACCUGAAACCGUGUGCCUACAAGCAGUGGGAGGGCUAUGUCUCGCGCGCAAGCGCGGGAAAUGCCUGACCGCGUGCCUAUUGCAUAAUGAGCCGGCUAGUUAUUCUUGUCAGCAAGGUUAAGCGUAAGCGAGCCGCAGCGAAAGCGAGUCCGAAAUGGGCGACAAAGUUGGCAGGAAUAGACGCGAAGCGGGAUGAUCUACCCUUGGCCAGGCUGAAAGUGGGGUAACACCCACUGGAGGGCCGAACGGGUGUUUGUUGAAAAAAGCUCCGAUGAGCUGAGGGUAGGGGUGAAAGGCUAAUCAAAUUCCGUGAUAGCUCGUUCUCUUCGAAAUACGUUUAGGCGUAGCCUCGUGUGAUUUGCCAUGGUGGUAGAGAUCUGGAUGGACUAGGGGGCUUUCCGGCUUGCUGAAUCCAACCAAACUUCGAAUGCCAGGGACAACCAGCACGGGAGUCAGACGGCGGGGGCUAAGCUUCGUCGUCGAGAGGGAAACAGCCCAGAUCGCCUGCUAAGGUCCCCAAAUCCAAGUUAAGUGGGAAAGGAAGUCGGAACGCCCAGACAGCCAGGAGGUUGGCUUAGAAGCAGCCAUCCUUUAAAGAAAGCGUAAUAGCUCACUGGUCAAGCGGUCCGGUGCCGACAAUUCAACGGGGCUUAAACUUGGUACC
RNAcentral lists this ribosomal RNA (1238 nucleotides) under Verrucomicrobiota bacterium. Its description in RNAcentral is "bacterial LSU rRNA". It matches the Rfam family "Bacterial large subunit ribosomal RNA", at positions 1 to 1195 of the family's 2925-position model. Lineage: Bacteria; Pseudomonadati; Verrucomicrobiota. The record is from RNAcentral.